GGUGGACGUGGAGAAGGAUGAGUGAGCAGAAUGAACUCCGGGAGGGUGUGGACCCCGAUAUGUUUGGAAAUCAUUCAAAGUAGGGGCUGGUGAAACUUGAAAAAUUGUAACUGAGGACAAGGAUUUUAUGAUUAAUACGAUGGAAGAUAGGAAGUAGAUUAAAGUUGGCAAGUGCAGAAGAAAUGGGAGCAUCCAAUCUAGUGAGAACAAAAUGUAAACUACAGAGUUUAGGAUUAAUCGCACUUUAUGAAAUGUGGAGACGGAGAUGCUGGGAUUAAGGAAGUUAACGUGAAGACAGAACAGAUUCCAAAUAUGCAUUUUAUCACUGAAUGCAGGUGGCUGAAUGACUUCAAUGUUUGGAUCCAAGGAAGGGCAUAACUAGAAUCCAGACUCAGUGCAAUAGAGACUCCAGGCCAGGCAGCUGCUGCAAUGGAGAAGGAAAAGGCAAGAAAGGAUUUCAUCAUAACCAUGUGACUGUGAUGAUGUUGACAAUAACAACACAUUGCACUUACGUAGAGACUUGUGUAUGAUGAAACUGUUUUGUGCGAGAAUUGGCAAACAACACCUGACACCUAUCAGAAUAGUGAUACAUUAACUUUUGACUUCCAUCAUGUGAUUUCAUUAUUCAAGACCUUUUGUGGGCUAAAAUUGUUUUAAAAAGGGAAAACACUGAAUUAUGACGGAUGCAUUUGACCCGGUUGAUCUAAGCUCAUGAAACUAUUAAUAAAUAAGCUGAAAUUA
Molecule: long non-coding RNA, 741 nt
Organism: Rhincodon typus (whale shark)
Lineage: Eukaryota; Metazoa; Chordata; Chondrichthyes; Orectolobiformes; Rhincodontidae
Exons: 3
Source: RefSeq, a predicted model, not a curated record